ACAAUUUAUAUAUUGAUAGAUAUAUAAUCAUACACUAAAAAUCUAUCCUUGAUAAAGAAAUAAGUGACUAAUGGACGUAGUUAUUAUUACUACAUUGGAAAGUAUUUGGUGAAUUAUGGAACUUGUAAGACCAAUGUGUGAUGUGCUAAAGUGCUUAGGAGAUCCAACAUGUACAUACAUACAGCAUCACAAAAAAUUGAAGAAAUGAAGAAUGAGCUUCUUGCAAAACAACGCGAACUAAAUGCUAUCAAGAGAGAUGUGGAGCUGGGGAUAAAAGUAAAGCUUCGAUGGGGAAAACGUGUAAGGCAAGAAGUAGAGAACUGGCUUCCAGAUGUGCAAGCCAUCAAUGACAAAAUAUAGAACAUUGAUGAAAGAAUGCAAAAUGUAUCUUGUUUUUCUCGUGGACGCCUUGGGAAACAAGUUUCGCAAACAAUUGAAGAAGUGAAGGAAAUUAUUGGACGAGGCAGAUUCGGUGAAGCUCUAGUAAUUGAUGAUCCAUCUACUGCUGAAGUGCGUUUGCAAUUGGAACAUUUGGAAGGUCAAACCCUGGUGAAAGCAGACAUUUGGAAGCAUUUGAUGAGUAAUGAAAUUGGAAUGAUUGGAGUAUGUGGGAGGGGCGGGAUCGGGAAAACCACAAUCAUGAAGCACAUCCACACUCAACUAUUGGAGGAGAUUAAAUCUGAACCCUUGUUUGAGAAAAUCAUUUGGGUCACUGUUUCGAAGGAUUUUAGCAUCACCAAAAUACAGCAACAAAUUGCAGAUCGUAUGUACAUAUCUCUUCCAGAUCCUGAAGUAGAGUGUGCAACUGUUUUAGCGAAUGAAUUGGGACGAAACAGGCAUGUGUUGAUCUUAGAUGAUGUUUGGGAAGGGUUCGCUCUCAAGAAGGUAGGGAUCCCUAAACCAACAUCCAGCAAUGGGAGUAAGUUGGUAUUAACUAGUAGAUCGAAAGUGGUUUGUAGAUCUAUAGGCUGUGAGAUAGUCGAAGUGCCUCUUCUUCCCUACAAGGAGUCCAUGAAUUUAUUCUUGGCGCUUACCGAACGUGGGAUUCUAAAGGUUCCAUCUUUGGAAGAAAUUUUGGGCAAUAUUGUUGGAAAGUGCGAUGGGUUACCCCUUGCCAUACAAGUAAUAGCAGGGAGCAUGAAGGGAAUAUCUGAUAUUGUUGAAUGGAGGAACGCAUUAAGAGAGUUACGUGAACAUGUAAUAAGUGUGAAGGGUACAGAUGUUGAAAUAUAUGAGCUAUUAAAGUUUAGUUUCGAUCGUUUGGUAGACUUGAAAAUCCAAAAUUGUUUCCUUUAUUGCUCACUAUAUCCAGAAGACUAUAUAAUUCCAAAGAAGGAAUUAAUAGAAUACUGGAUAGAUGAAGAAUUUCUUGGAACUGGGAGUCGACAAGAGUUAUAUUAUAGGGGUCAUACUAUAUUAAAUAGGCUGGAAAAUAAAUGUUUGUUGGAAAAGCAUGAUAGAGAUACUGUGAAGAUGCAUGAUGUAAUGAGAGAUACAGCAUUAUAUAUCAAAAGUUCUGGCCCCCGUUUUAUGGUAAAAUCUGGCAUCGGACUAAAAGAACUACCAAGCAAGCAAGAAUGGGAAGAAGAUCUUGAAAAAGUUUCCUUCAUGAUGAAUAACGUAUCUGAGAUUCCUCUGCACUUAUCACCC
This 1650-nucleotide long non-coding RNA is filed under the name Gossypium barbadense (sea-island cotton). RNAcentral describes it as "long non-coding RNA (GBAR_LNC000081)". The record is from RNAcentral. Lineage: Eukaryota; Viridiplantae; Streptophyta; Magnoliopsida; Malvales; Malvaceae.